GUCUACGGCCGUGCCACCCUGAACAAGCCCAAUGUUUGAUCUCAGAAGCCAAGCAGGGUCGGGCCUGGUUAGUACUUGGAUGGGAGACCACCUAGGAAAACCAGGUGCUGUAGGUA
This 116-nucleotide ribosomal RNA is filed under the name Pteropus alecto (black flying fox). The record is from RNAcentral. Lineage: Eukaryota; Metazoa; Chordata; Mammalia; Chiroptera; Pteropodidae.